AAGGCAUGCAAGUCGAGAGGGUUUAGGCCCUCGGCAGACGGGUUAGUAACGCGUAGGAACAUACCCUUAAGUCGUGAAUAAUUCGAAGAAAUUCGGAAUAAUACACGAUGUGCUCUACGGAGUAAAGAUUUAUUGCUUAAGGAGUGGCCUGCGUCCUAUCAGCUAGUUGGUGAGGUAAUGGCUUACCAAGGCUAUGACGGGUAGGGGGCGUGAGAGCGUGAUCCCCAACAUUGGAACUAAGACACUGUCCAAACUCCUACGGGAGGCUGCAGUCGAGAAUAUUCCACAAUGGGCGAAAGCCUGAUGGAGCGACGCCGCGUGCAGGAUGACAGCCCUAGGGUUGUAAACUGCUUUUAUCAAGGAAGAAUUGUGCUUCACUUUCGUUCGGCAUAAAUUUGAAAUUUGAAAAUUUUAAUGACGAGCGGUAGCGAGGUACGAUGACGGUACUUGAAGAAUAAGGGGUUACUAACUCUGUGCCAGCAGUAGCGGUAAUACAGAGACCUCAAGCGUUAUCCGGAUUUAUUGGGCGUAAAGCGCAUGUAGGCGGAUAUAUUAGUCAGAUGUCAAAUCUCCGAGCUCAACUCGGAAAAGGCAUCUGAAACGGUAUAUCUAGAGAAAGUGAGAGAUCAAUGGAAUUCAUGGUGUAGCAGUGAAAUGCGUUGAUAUCAUGAGGAACACCAAAGGCGAAGGCAUUUGAUUGGCACUUUUCUGACGCUGAGAUGCGAAAGCGUGGGUAGCGAAGGGGAUUAGAUACCCCC
This 758-nucleotide ribosomal RNA is filed under the name uncultured bacterium. Its description in RNAcentral is "bacterial SSU rRNA". It matches the Rfam family "Bacterial small subunit ribosomal RNA", at positions 50 to 789 of the family's 1533-position model. The record is from RNAcentral.